Molecule: long non-coding RNA, 1167 nt
Filed under: Papio anubis (olive baboon)
Lineage: Eukaryota; Metazoa; Chordata; Mammalia; Primates; Cercopithecidae
Description: lncRNA (ENSPANG00000039417.1)
Source: RNAcentral
AUGGUGUCGGUGCCAACAGGGCGCAGGGGUGGGGGUGGGGGGAUGGGCUGCUGUCUCUUCAAGUACUUGGUACCAAGAAAACAGCUGUAUGAUCUCAAAGGGGCUGCAGUGGCCCCGUCUUUCACCCGCAGCCUUCCAGCAAGAAAGGGAAUGCUGCCUACCCUGGGCCCUGUUCAAAGCGUCACAGCCUCAGCUCUGACAUCAAGAACUGAGCAGUCGCACAAGAAGUCAAGUGGCCACAGAGUGAACCAUCUCAGGGAGCUGGAGCUGGCCAAGGAGGCAGGCCCAGACAGGAACCCCCAGCUCCGCUCCCAGGCUCUUGCUCCUAGAAAUUACUCAGAAGCAUCUUUCUUUAAAGGGAUUUUGAAGCCAGUUAGUCUCUGCCCAAAGAGCUGGCUGAGGAGGUCAUUCUGGGCCUCGGCCGUCCGGUGGGUGUGUGGCUCGGCAGGUUCAGCACCGUGGACAGCUCUGCCCCUCUUGGGGGUCCUGAGCAGGGGUCUCCCCUGGGGGAAGGCCUUGUCCAGUCUGUCCUUCCUGUGUGUGUGGCCUGGCUCUGCCUUCCGCUGCUCUGAGGGUGGUGGCCUGGGUUUGUUCUGGCUGUUGGGCUUGGUCUUGGUCGGGAGCACUCGGCUGGGAGUUGCCUGCUUCCGAGGGGUACGGGGGGGCUUGUCAGGGGCCGAGGGGGCUCUCCCAAAGCCCCCCACACUUUCACUCCUGGCUGGCCCUGGAACCUGGCCCUUUUUCCUCUUCAUACUGCUUUCUCCCUUCUCCUUGGGACCUGGGCUCCCGCGCGGCCCCUGCUCACCAGCUUCCCUUGGCCCCUUGGUGCAGCUCUUGGCUUGGGCUCGAUGGGGGAGCCUGUCUGGUGCAGGGCUCCGGCUGGGGAAGCUGGGCUUGGCUGGGGUGGUGGCUGUCUCGCUCUGGAGCUGCCCGCUGGCUGGCUGGGGCUGGCUGCCACCUCCCGUCUUCGUGCUGGGGCGAGGGCUUCCACUGCCCUGGGAGCUGGGGCCUGGUUUGGCUUUGGGGGUGGCGGGCUUCGUCCCAUUCUCUGUGCCACGGGCCAGCUCUCCGGGUGCCAGGCUCCCCACUGCCUUCCUUGGGUGCACUGGGAACUUGGGUGCUUUGCUGGGGGUGGACGCUGCCGACCUGUCCUUUGACGAGCUCUGA